This 253-nucleotide ribosomal RNA is filed under the name uncultured bacterium. RNAcentral describes it as "partial 16S ribosomal RNA". It matches the Rfam family "Bacterial small subunit ribosomal RNA", at positions 524 to 776 of the family's 1533-position model. The record is from RNAcentral.
GACGUAGGGCGCGAGCGUUGUCCGGAUUUAUUGGGCGUAAAGAGCGUGUAGGCGGCCAGGUAGGUCUGCUGUGAAAACUCGAGGCUCAACCUCGAGACGUCGGCGGAAACCAUCUGGCUAGAGUCCGGAAGAGGAGAGUGGAAUUCCUGGUGUAGCGGUGAAAUGCGUAGAUAUCGGGAGGAACACCUGUGGCGAAAGCGGCUCACUGGACCACAACUGACGCUGAGGCGCGAAAGCUAGGGGAGCAAACAGG